RNAcentral lists this ribosomal RNA (492 nucleotides) under uncultured bacterium. RNAcentral's name for it is "partial 16S ribosomal RNA". It matches the Rfam family "Bacterial small subunit ribosomal RNA", at positions 28 to 507 of the family's 1533-position model. The record is from RNAcentral.
GAUGAACGCUAGCUAUAGGCUUAACACAUGCAAGUCGAGGGGAAACGGCAUUAUGUGCUUGCACAUUUUGGACGUCGACCGGCGCACGGGUGAGUAUCGCGUAUCCAACCUGCCCUUUACUUGGGGAUACCCCGUUGAAAGACGGCCUAAUACCCGAUGUAAUUCAUUGAUGGCAUCAGAUAUGAAUAAAAGAUUUAUCGGUAAAGGAUGGGGAUGCGUCUGAUUAGCUUGUUGGUGAGGUAACGGCUCACCAAGGCGACGAUCAGUAGGGGUUCUGAGAGGAAGGUCCCCCACAUUGGAACUGAGACACGGUCCAAACUCCUACGGGAGGCAGCAGUGAGGAAUAUUGGUCAAUGGGCGCAAGCCUGAACCAGCCAAGUAGCGUGCAGGAAGACGGCCCUAUGGGUUGUAAACUGCUUUUAUACGAGAAUAAUUUGAUGCACGUGUGCGUUAUUGCAUGUAUCGGAUGAAUAAGGACCGGCUAAUUCCGUG